GAUGAAGAACGUAGCGAAAUGCGAUAAGUAAUGCGAAUUGCAGAAUUUCCGUGAAUCAUCGAAUCUUUGAACGCACAUUGCGCCCGCCAGUAUUCUGGCGGGCAUGCCUGUUCGAGCGUCAUUUCAACCAUCAAGCCCCAGGCUUGUGUUGGGGACCUGCGGCUGCCGCAGGCCCUGAAAACCAGUGGCGGGCUCGCUGUCACACCGGGCGUAGUAGAUUUUAUCUCGCUCAGGGCGUGCUGCGGGUUCCGGCCGUUAAAAAGCCUUUUUUACCCAAGGUUGACCUCGGAUCAGGUAGGAAGACCCGCUGAACUUAAGCAUAUCAUAAGCGGAGGA
Molecule: unclassified non-coding RNA, 336 nt
Filed under: soil metagenome
Description: partial contains 5.8S ribosomal RNA, internal transcribed spacer 2, and large subunit ribosomal RNA
Rfam family: 5.8S ribosomal RNA (bases 1-121)
Source: RNAcentral